AAACAAUAAUGAUGCUUGGGUCCCACCUGGAGAUUCUGAUACGGUUGGUCUGGCAGCGGGGCCUAGGAGUUGGGAGUAUUAAAAUCUCAGGUGAUCUUAAUGCAGUCAAGAAGACCCACUCCCACGGGUUAGAUUGUUUGCUUAAUUUGCAUCCUAUCAGGAGGCAGGUAAUGUCACACUGAUCCAUUGUUUGUGAUGCUAAACUCAGUCACUGGAUUGAGGUGGUCACCACCAGACCUCUCCAUCACAAAGGAGGCCUCUCCAUGGCUCUCCUUUGUAAAGGUUCAAGAACUUCCAUACCCAGUGCCAUCCACGUUCUCUUGGCUUCCGCUCUGUGUAGAAAUAGGACUCUCUGAGUGGUGUCAUUUGUGCCAAGAAUCGAGGAGCCUUCAAGAAAGAGGUGGUUGUCAGCUAUGUCAAGUGCUGGGUGGAGAUUGACAAAGGUGACUCUCACAUAUGAUGAAG
RNAcentral lists this long non-coding RNA (465 nucleotides) under Equus asinus (donkey). RNAcentral describes it as "lncRNA (ENSEASG00005027733.1)". Lineage: Eukaryota; Metazoa; Chordata; Mammalia; Perissodactyla; Equidae. The record is from RNAcentral.